AUUGAACGCUGGCGGCAGGCCUAACACAUGCAAGUCGAACGGUAACAGAAAGCAGCUUGCUGCUUUGCUGACGAGUGGCGGACGGGUGAGUAAUGUCUGGGAAACUGCCUGAUGGAGGGGGAUAACUACUGGAAACGGUAGCUAAUACCGCAUAACGUCGCAAGACCAAAGAGGGGGACCUUCGGGCCUCUUGCCAUCGGAUGUGCCCAGAUGGGAUUAGCUAGUAGGUGGGGUAAAGGCUCACCUAGGCGACGAUCCCUAGCUGGUCUGAGAGGAUGACCGGCCACAAUGGAACUGAGACACGGUCCAGACUCCUACGGGAGGCAGCAGUGGGGAAUAUUGCACAAUGGGCGCAAGCCUGAUGCAGCCAUGCCGCGUGUAUGAAGAAGGCCUUCGGGUUGUAAAGUACUUUCAGCGGGGAGGAAGGGAGUAAAGUUAAUACCUUUGCUCAUUGACGUUACCCGCAGAAGAAGCACCGGCUAACUCCG
Molecule: ribosomal RNA, 488 nt
Filed under: uncultured bacterium
Lineage: Bacteria
Description: partial 16S ribosomal RNA
Rfam family: Bacterial small subunit ribosomal RNA
Source: RNAcentral